GAUGAAGAACGCAGCGAAAUGCGAUAAGUAAUGUGAAUUGCAGAAUUCAGUGAAUCAUCGAAUCUUUGAACGCACCUUGCGCUAUUUGGUACUCCGAAGAGCAUGCCUGUUUGAGUGUCAUGAAAAUAUCAACCUUGACUUGGGUUUUGUGCUCUAGUCUCGGCUUGGAAUUGGGUGCUUGCCGCUUUUACGAGCGGCUCACCUUAAAUGUAUUAGCUGGAUCUGUCUUUGAGACUUGGUUUGACUUGGCGUAAUAAGUAUUUCGCUAAGGACAUUCUUCGGAGUGGCCUCGUUUCUAGGACGCUUGCCCGCUUUCCAAUACAAGUUCCACCUCGUGGACAUGACUUUUUAUUAUCUGGCCUCAAAUCAGGUAGGACUACCCGCUGAACUUAAGCAUAUCAAUAAGCGGAGGA
This 413-nucleotide unclassified non-coding RNA is filed under the name soil metagenome. RNAcentral describes it as "partial contains 5.8S ribosomal RNA, internal transcribed spacer 2, and large subunit ribosomal RNA". The stretch from base 1 to 120 matches the Rfam family "5.8S ribosomal RNA", at positions 35 to 154 of the family's 154-position model. The record is from RNAcentral.